CACCGCGGUUAUACGAGCGGCCCAAGCUGAUAGUCCUCGGCAGAAAGCGUGGUUAAGGAAUAAUAUAAACUAAAGCCGAAUGCCCUCAGAGCUGUUAUAAGCAUCCGAGAGUUCGAAGCCCCAUCACGAAAAUGGCUUUACCCCCUCCCCCCUGACCCCACGAAAGCUACGCAA
Molecule: ribosomal RNA, 174 nt
Filed under: Poromitra oscitans (yawning)
Lineage: Eukaryota; Metazoa; Chordata; Actinopteri; Beryciformes; Melamphaidae
Description: partial 12S rRNA
Source: RNAcentral